AUUCCUACUGUGAUAUCACAAUCAAUCUGACAUGGAACCUUAAUGGGAAGCUCGGCUGCUCUGCAGGUCAAUGCUGCUGAGGACCAAAAGCAUCACAUGGGCCACGUGAGGUUCAGCUGUCUAGCAAUGCCUAACCCUGUGAGCGGGGUGGGACUGCAGAUAGCAGGGAUUGAUCCGGGGUUCCCAGACACAGCAGUGACUGUGGACAUUAUGCAGGUGUCCUGUAGAAAUAAAUGCUGUCUUCUGGAACCACAGCCUUCAGCUGGACGGGCCCCUCCAGAUCCUGAUUCCCAGGAGGGAAUCUUGACAGAAAAGGAUCACCAGGGGACAUGUCUGCUAUCUGCUUAAGUGAUAGUGUAUGCAGCAGACUCACCACAGACCAGAUGAUCUCCAUGUAUCUAGAUAUGAUGGCGAACCUAACCCCAAGAGGACCACGAGGUGUGUCAGGUGCCUAGAGAAGAGAAGAUGGUCCCCUUAACUGUGAAGGUUAUGAUGAAAUUUUGUCGGUCAGGAAUUAAGAGAUGAUGGAUCACUACCUACUACGGUAGUGAACAAGGGAUUUUGCAAGUCACCAGGUAAGAGAUGAUGGUGUCUCUAAAAAUGUAAUCAUGUGAUUUUGCAGGUACGCAAUGAAGGAAUAAUGUGUUACUGAAAAUGGUAGUACCAAGGUAUUUAUUAGUUACCCAGGAAGGAAAUCAUGUGUCCUUAUGGCAUUUAAUUUGGGUAAUUUGUGGGUCUCCAGGUCUGGUAGGUAUUUCUAUAUCUGAUUGAUCUCAUGGGCUUCUGUACGUAUCCACAUGAGAGAUGAUGUAUCACAACUUGUAACCAAGUGCCAAGGUAUUUUACAGGUAUUUCACUUAGAGCUCUGGUGAAUAUAAGUUUUUGAAGAUAUCCAGCAGGAAAUGAUGUUGGCCUAAACCAUGAUAAUGCCCACGAGUUGUGCCCAUAUCUUG
Molecule: long non-coding RNA, 953 nt
Filed under: Callithrix jacchus (white-tufted-ear marmoset)
Lineage: Eukaryota; Metazoa; Chordata; Mammalia; Primates; Cebidae
Description: lncRNA (ENSCJAG00000065031.2)
Source: RNAcentral